GUUCCCACAGCAUAUGGAGGUUCCCAGGCUAGGGGUUGAAUCGGAGCUGUAGCUGCCGGCCUACGCCGGAGCCACAGCCAUGCAGGAUCCAAGCCGCGUCUGCAACCUACACCACAGCUCACGGCAACGCCGGAUCCUUCACCCACUGAGCAAGGCCAGGGAUCGAACCUGCAACCUCAUCGUUCCCAGUCGGAUUCGUUAACCACUGAGCCACAACGGAAACUCCCUUCCUGUGGUUUUAUUUUCUUUUUUUCUUUUUGGCUUUUUAGGGCCACACCCGCGGCAAUAUGGAGGUUCCCAGGCUAGUGGGCUAAUUGGAGCUGUGGCCAUUGGCCACAGCCACACCAGAUCUGAGCUGCGUCUGUGAGCUACACCACAGCUCACGGCAGCGCUGGAUCCUUCACCCACUGAGCGAGGUCAGGGAUCGAACCCGCAACCUCAUGGUUCUUAGAGUCAUUUCUGCUGCGCCACCACGGAAGCUCCCGUGGUUAGUUUUCUAUGAUUACUUUAACAAAUCACCACACACUCAAUGGCUUAAAACAGAGCACAUGGCAUGACAGGCAGGUGUUGUAGUUGAUUACGUAAAGAAAAGCCAAAAAGAUGGUGAGUUCCUAUGGGCUUAACAUCUUAGUCAAAAAGGAAAGCCGUCCCCAGAGGCCAACUCUGGGGACGUGCUUGUCUAAGUCCUCCCUCUUCUGUGAUUCCGUCUUUGACUCAGCCGUGGACAAAGGGGGACUGAGAGAAACGAGCCGCGUUGGCAUGAAGCAGAAGGGAGCGCGUGCUGCUCCGAGACUACAUUCACCUUCGAUUCAUUCGAGACCCCGCACGGCCCCCUGGGCAUCUCUGCGUUCACGCACAUGGAGAUGGGAAGGCGGGGAGUCAGCCUGAGGAAAAGAGAACAGAGACGCUGACACGCAGCUGAAAAAAAAGGCCACCUCUGCAACGUCAUCUGGGCAAGCACUGGGUCUGUGGCCACCCCUGUGCUUACAAAUCCUCGUGCGGCAAACUCAGGCAGGAAGCUUGGUCGGGUAAAGCCUAGACCGGCCUCACACAAGCCCUCCCCCGGGCUCUGCAGGGGUCUCUGUCACUUCUGUCCUUUCUGGCCUUGUGAUAAUUACUGAAAGCUCAGUUCCCAAGCAGUUCUGCUGCUCAUGACUCCCUACGCCGGUGCAGGGUUCCAAGAAGAGCUGAGCGAGGCUGAGAAACCCACGCUGCCAUUGCUUGAGGUCUUGCCUUGCUUUUAGCAAAACGUGGGGCAGCUUUCAGGGAAAACGGUUUGCAUUUUGCGAAAUUUAUUCCCAAGAAUUUUUUUUUUGUUCCAUGCAGUAGAGCUGUUGUCUUAGUUUCACUCAGCGGUUGCUCAUGGCAAGUCUAGAGAAUUAAAAGUGAUUUCUGCAUAGCGAUCUUGCAUCCUGCCAGCUGGCGGAAUGGACUUACUGCUUCUAAUACGAUCUGGUGGAUACCUUAGCAUUGUCUACAUUCAGGCUACUGUCGUCUAGGAACAGAAACUGUUUCACUUCCUCCUUUGUACUCACAUCAUCACCGUCCCCACUGCCCAGCAGGGCUCCCAUCAGAAUUUCUAUAGCGGGAGUUCCCAUCAUGGCGCAGAGGAAAUGCAUCCAACUAGGAAUCCGUGAGGUCGCGGGUUCAAUCCCUGGUCUCUGCUCAGUGGAUGAAGGAUCCCACAUUGCUGUGGUGGUGGCGUAGGCCGGCAGCUGUAGCUCUGAUUGGAUCCCUGGCCUGGGAACCUCCCUAUGCUGUGGGUGCGGCCCUGAAAAAAGCAAAAAAAGAAAAAAAAAAAAAAAAAAAAGGAAUUUCUAUAGCAGCAGAAAGAUUUUUUUUUUUCCCAGUGCUCUUGUUGCAAGGCCAUUUCCAGGUCCUUGUAAUACCGUAGGAAUAAACACUGCUUCCACGAGGCUCUCAGGCAAGCAAGACUUUUUAUUAAAGGAGGCACAAGGGAGAAGGUAGGGAUAAAAGGGCCAGCUCCUCAAGAGAAGGGGCAGGUUGCUUUUUAUAACAAAAGGGGUUGUCUCAGGAUUACCGAUAAUUUCCAGAAACCAUCCAGCGUCUCUUAUCAGCAGCAGGCGGCUCCAUGAUGACUGCUGGGAUGAGGGGACCGCUUCUGUUGUAGGGGGAGGAAUGCAUGGGAAUUUUUUUGCAGGAAAGCACAGGAAGAGAUAAGGACAAAUUCAGGGUGGAGCUUGUCUUGUGGCAACGAGGUAUUUUUGUGAGCUUAACAGAGAAAACGUGAAUCUUUCACUCCUGGGAGCCUGGUUUUUGUCUCUGGGACCCAGGCUUCUUUAGCCAGCAAGGCCUCUUGCCCAACGCCGCUGUUCCCCCGUCCGUUUCCCAAAUGGCUGUGCUCUUGUCGUCCUGUGUCACUCUCAGCCCAGCAGCCCCAAACCCAGGAGCCGCAGAGGAUAAAAGGCUAACUUCCUGCUUGGAGAUGCUGGGGUGGGAGACGUGCAGUGAGAAGAAAACCAGGCUGGGAGCCAUGCGCAGGUGCAGCCCCUCCGCUGUGUGACCUGUCGCUGGGGCAGGAGAGUCCUAGGAGGAGGAACGGGGUCUGCUCGGGGACUCCCGGCGCUGAUGCAGGGCCUGGCCUUGGGAGGUGCUCGGUACGCUUUGCGGCAGUGGAGGGAGGACCCAGCCAGGAAAACAUCAGGGUACAGAUGCCACAAAGGUGUGUUCUGUCUGUAAACCGUUUCAAAGGCACAGAAACGCUCCAAGAAUCAGAAUAAUACAAAGAGCAUUUGUUUACCGUUUCCUCUACACACAUUCUGUUUCCAACAUUUUGUCCCAUUCGCUUUAAUAGAGAUCACAAAAUAAUAUAAUUGCAUUUAUUUAUUUUUGUCUUUUUAGGGCCGCACCUGUAGCAUAUGGAAGUUUCCAGGUUAGGGGGUCCAAUCAGAGCUGUAGCCGCCAGCCUACACCACAGCCACAGCCAUGCAGGAUCUGAGUCCCAUUUGCGACAUACACCACAGCUCACGGCAACGCCGGAUCCUUAACCCACUGAGCAAGGCCGGGGAUCAAACCUGCCACCUCAUGGAUGCUAAUCAGAUUUGUUUCUGCUGAGCCAUGGUAGGAACCCCCUCACUGAGGUUUUGAAAACGCAGAUUAUAAUUUCAUCAAAUUUAGGAAGAGUUUGGCUUUAUUUAUUUAUUUUGUCUUUUUAGGGCUGCACCCAUGGCAUGUCGAGGUUCCCAGGCUAGGGGUCUAAUGGGAGCUGUGGGUGCCAACCUAUGCCACAGCCACAGCAACGCCGGAUCCUUAACCCACUGAGCGAGACCGGGGAUCGAACCCACAAUCUCAUGGUUCCCAGUCAGAUUCAUUUCUGCUAUGCCACAACAGGAACUCCUGUUUUUGAUUUUUUAAAAUAUUUUCCCCUCCUCCUCUGUCCCACCCCUCUCUGCCUCUUCUGGGUUCUCCUAAUGCAUAUAAGGAUGUGUUUGGUGGUGUUCCCAUCCUUCAGGCUCUGUUCAUUUGUCCCUCCGAUGUUUUCUUUCUGCGCCUCAGAUGGGAUGGUUACACAGGCUCUAUUUUAAGCUGCCGAUUCUGUCCUCUGCGUGCUCAGAUCUGGCUCUGAUCCCCCAGCAAACGUGGUACUCUUCAAUCCAAUAUUUCCUUUUCAUCAUUUAUGUCCUUUUUAGUAAUGUUCUCCAUUUGUUCCUACAUCAGUCUUGUAGAUUUCUUUAGCUUUUUAAGCAUAUUGAAAACAACUGCUUUCAAGUAUUUGUCUAGUAAGUUGACUCUCUGGGCUUUGUCAGGGGCAAUUUCUCUCCAUUGCUUUGUGUGUGUGGGGAAAUGAGACAUACUCCCCCCACCCCUUUGCUUUCCUUGUCAUUUUUUGCUGUUUGAACACUGGAUGUUCUGUUAUAAAGUGGUAACUCUGAAAAUCAGAUUCUUCCCUUUUCCCAGAGUUUGUUGUUAUUGAUUGCUGAGAACUGAACAUUUUCUGUUUUGUUUGCUUUUCAGUGACUUUUUCCAAACUAUUUUGUAAGAACUACUCCUUGCCACAUGUCGUGACUGAACUCUCUGUUCUAUUAUCUCAGUGGACAGAGACUUGCAUGAUGCCCGGAGCCAAAAAGAAGAAAAAAACAUAAGCCUUCUCUCCGUCUUCGCAGAUGGGAUCUGACCUCGGGUGCUCCCGUGACGUUUGGUCAGGCCGCCUAGAGCUCUGCUUCGUCUCCUGUGUGUGCAGGGCCCAGUGGUCAGCUAGACUUGCAAGCCAGGGUCCUGGGAGGUCUUUCUCGCGUGUAUGCCUCUGGCGCUGGGCAUGUUCUUCGCAGUCCGAAUAGGCUGGGAUAAGCUAUAGUCCUUCAGAG
Molecule: long non-coding RNA, 4325 nt
Filed under: Sus scrofa (pig)
Lineage: Eukaryota; Metazoa; Chordata; Mammalia; Artiodactyla; Suidae
Description: lncRNA (ENSSSCG00015076636.1)
Source: RNAcentral